RNAcentral lists this ribosomal RNA (301 nucleotides) under uncultured bacterium. Its description in RNAcentral is "partial 16S ribosomal RNA". It matches the Rfam family "Bacterial small subunit ribosomal RNA", at positions 509 to 809 of the family's 1533-position model. The record is from RNAcentral.
CAGUAGCCGCGGUAAUACGAGGGGGGCAAGCGUUGUUCGGAAUUAUUGGGCGUAAAGGGUGCGUAGGCGGCUUGACAAGUCUUGUGUGAAAUCUAUGGGCUCAACCCAUAGUCUGCACGGGAAACUGUCGGGCUUGAGAAUGGGAGAGGUGAGUGGAAUUUCCGGUGUAGCGGUGAAAUGCGUAGAUAUCGGAAGGAACACCUGUGGCGAAAGCGGCUCACUGGACCAUUUCUGACGCUGAUGCACGAAAGCUAGGGGAGCAAACAGGAUUAGAUACCCCUGUAGUCCCUGUCUCUUAUAU